This 938-nucleotide ribosomal RNA is filed under the name uncultured archaeon. Its description in RNAcentral is "bacterial SSU rRNA". It matches the Rfam family "Archaeal small subunit ribosomal RNA", at positions 8 to 921 of the family's 1478-position model. The record is from RNAcentral.
UGGAUCCUGCCGGACCCCACUGCUAUCGGGAUAGGACUAAGACAUGCUAGUCGUGCGUCUUCUAGCCAUGCUGAAGACGCGACACACAGCUCAGUAACACGUGGCUAACCUACCCUUGAGACGGGAACAUCCCCGGGAAACUGGGGCCAAUUUCCGAUAGGUGAAGAAUCCUGGAAUGGAUCUUUGCCCAAAGGGUGCUAGGGGCAUGCUUCUUAGUAUCGUCCGAGGAUAGGGCCGCAUCUGAUCAGGUUGUUGGUGGGGUAAUGGCUCACCAAGCCUAUAACCAGUACGGGCUGUGAGAGCGGGAGCCCGGAGAUGGGCACUGAGACAAGGGCCCAGGCCCUACGGGGCGCAGCAGGUGCGAAAACUCCACAAUGCACGAAAGUGUGAUGGGGCCAUCCCGAGUGCUGUCCGCUGAGGACAGCUUUUCUAUGCUGUAAGGAGGCGUGGGAAUAAGGAGAGGGCAAGCCUGGUGUCAGCCGCCGCGGUAAUACCAGCUCUCCGAGUGGUAGGGAUGAUUAUUGGGCUUAAAGCGUCCGUAGCCGGCUCUUCAAGUCUUUCGUUAAAGCCAGCGAUUUAAUCGUUGGACUGCGGGAGAUACUGCUGGGCUAGGGGGCGGGAGAAGUCGACGGUAUUUCCGGGGUAGGAGUGAAAUCCUAUAAUCCCGGGAGGACCACCAGUGGCGAAGGCGGUCGACUAGAACGCGCUCGACGGUGAGGGACGAAAGCUGGGGGAGCGAACCGGAUUAGAUACCCGGGUAGUCCCAGCCGUAAACGAUGCGAGCUAGGUGUUAGGGUGGCCACGAGCCACUCUAGUGCCGCAGGGAAACCGUUAAGCUCGCCGCCUGGGGAGUACGGCCGCAAGGCUGAAACUUAAAGGAAUUGGCGGGGGAGCACCACAAGGGGUGAAGCUUGCGGUUUAAUUGGAGUCAACGCCGG